UACGGAGGGAGCUAGCGUUGUUCGGAAUUACUGGGCGUAAAGCGCACGUAGGCGGCUUUGUAAGUUAGAGGUGAAAGCCUGGGGCUCAACUCCAGAACUGCCUUUAAAACUGCAUCGCUUGAAUCCAGGAGAGGUGAGUGGAAUUCCGAGUGUAGAGGUGAAAUUCGUAGAUAUUCGGAAGAACACCAGUGGCGAAGGCGGCUCACUGGACUGGUAUUGACGCUGAGGUGCGAAAGCAUGGGGAGCAAACAGG
Molecule: ribosomal RNA, 253 nt
Filed under: uncultured bacterium
Lineage: Bacteria
Description: partial 16S ribosomal RNA
Rfam family: Bacterial small subunit ribosomal RNA
Source: RNAcentral